Molecule: ribosomal RNA, 253 nt
Filed under: uncultured bacterium
Lineage: Bacteria
Description: partial 16S ribosomal RNA
Rfam family: Bacterial small subunit ribosomal RNA
Source: RNAcentral
UACGUAGGGUGCAAGCGUUAAUCGGAAUUACUGGGCGUAAAGCGUGCGCAGGCGGUGAUGUAAGACAGUUGUGAAAUCCCCGGGCUCAACCUGGGAACUGCAUCUGUGACUGCAUUGCUGGAGUACGGCAGAGGGGGAUGGAAUUCCGCGUGUAGCAGUGAAAUUCGUAGAUAUUGGGUGGAACACCGGUGGCGAAAGCGGCUCUCUGGUCCGGACCUGACGCUGAGGCGCGAAAGCGUGGGGAGCAAACAGG